GGGGCGGGGAGGCGCAUGCGUGUGGCGCCUGCGUGGCGUGCGUGGCGUGGUGUGCGUGCGUGGGUGUUGCGCGCGUGGGGCAGAGGCGAGAGCGGAAGGGGAUGCUGAGGGACCCCCGGCGCCCGCCGGAGGGAGUGCAGUCAGGCUGUCAGCGGACCUCAGCUGACAGGCAUACCUAGCUGUACCGUUUUCAGCCUAAGCCCACCAGGUCCAUCUUGUGAAGUCACAAGCCUGAAGUAUUUUUGGAAGGUCCUAAGUGGAAAGUACUGGAUUUCCAUGGCAU
Long non-coding RNA from Phacochoerus africanus (Common warthog), 283 nucleotides. RefSeq lists it as uncharacterized. The transcript has 3 exons. The record is from RefSeq and is a predicted model, not a curated record. NCBI's taxonomy places the organism in Eukaryota, Metazoa, Chordata, Mammalia, Artiodactyla, Suidae.